This 253-nucleotide ribosomal RNA is filed under the name uncultured Clostridium sp. RNAcentral describes it as "partial 16S ribosomal RNA". It matches the Rfam family "Bacterial small subunit ribosomal RNA", at positions 524 to 776 of the family's 1533-position model. Lineage: Bacteria; Bacillati; Bacillota; Clostridia; Eubacteriales; Clostridiaceae. The record is from RNAcentral.
UACGUAGGUGGCAAGCGUUGUCCGGAUUUACUGGGCGUAAAGGAUGCGUAGGCGGAAUGUUAAGUCAGAUGUGAAAUACCCGGGCUCAACCUGGGGGCUGCAUUUGAAACUGGCAAUCUAGAGUGUGGGAGAGGAAAGUAGAAUUCCUAGUGUAGCGGUGAAAUGCGUAGAUAUUAGGAAGAAUACCAGUGGCGAAGGCGACUUUCUGGACCAUAACUGACGCUGAGGCAUGAAAGCGUGGGGAGCAAACAGG